RNAcentral lists this long non-coding RNA (1294 nucleotides) under Salmo salar (Atlantic salmon). RNAcentral's name for it is "lncRNA (ENSSSAG00000120782.1)". Lineage: Eukaryota; Metazoa; Chordata; Actinopteri; Salmoniformes; Salmonidae. The record is from RNAcentral.
UAUAGGCAGCUAUUACUUUACCUGAGGGCUUUCUGCCUCUUCAAAUGCUUCACAUUGACUUGAGCAACCAAUACAGAGGAACAACACCACAACACUACAAUACAGAGGAACAACACCACAACACUACAAUACAGAGUAACAACAUCACAACACAACAAUACAGAGUAACAACACUACAACACUACAACACAACAAUACAGAGUAACAACACUACAACACUACAAUACAGAGUAACAACACUACAACACUACAACACUACAAUACAGAGUAACAACAUCACAACACAACAAUACAGAGCAACAACUCUACAACACUACAACACAACAAUACAGAGUAACAACACUACAAUACAGAGAAACAACAUCACAACAAUACAGAGUAACAACACCACAACAAUACAGAGUAACAACACCACAACAAUACAGAGUAACAACAUCACAACAAAACAAUACAGAGUAACAAUAUCACAACAAUACAGAGUAACAACACCACAUCACAACAAUACAGAGUAACAACACUACACCACAACAAUACAGAGUAACAACAUCACAACAAAACAGAGUAACAACAUCACAACAAUACAGAGUAACAACACCACAACAAUACAGAGUAACAACAUCACAACAAAACAAUACAGAGUAACAAUAUCACAACAAUACAGAGUAACAACACUACAACACUACAAUACAGAGUAACAACAUCACAACAAUACAGAGUAACAACACUACAACAAUACAGAGUAACAACAUCACAACACUACAACUCAACAAUACAGAGUAACAACACUACAACACUACAAUACAGAGUAACAACAUCACAACAAUACAGAGUAACAACAUCACAACAAUACAGAGUAACAACAUCACAACACUACAACUCAACAAUACAGAGUAACAACACUACAACACUACAAUACAGAGUAACAACAUCACAACAAUACAGAGUAACAACAUCACAACACUACAACUCAACAAUACAGAGUAACAACACUACAACACUACAAUACAGAGUAACAACAUCACAACAAUACAGAGUAACAACAUCACAACAACUACAACACUACAAUACAGAGUAACAACAUCACAACAAUACAGAGUAACAACAUCACAACAAUACAACUCAACAAUACAGAGUAACAACACUACAACACUACAAUACAGAGUAACAACAUUACAACACAACAUUACAGAGUAACAACACUACAACACUACAACACAACAAUACAGAGUAACAACACUACAACACAACAAUACAGAGUAACAACAUUACAACACAACAUUACAGAGUAACAACA